This is a non-coding RNA of Capsicum annuum, 46 nucleotides long. The record is from Rfam. Lineage: Eukaryota; Viridiplantae; Streptophyta; Magnoliopsida; Solanales; Solanaceae.
UCAAUGGUUUUUCUCAAAACCAAAUUAAACAACAUCAAAUUCCUUU